Long non-coding RNA from Hordeum vulgare subsp. vulgare (domesticated barley), 757 nucleotides. RefSeq lists it as uncharacterized. The transcript has 2 exons. Lineage: Eukaryota; Viridiplantae; Streptophyta; Magnoliopsida; Poales; Poaceae. The record is from RefSeq and is a predicted model, not a curated record.
UAUCCAAAGGGAUAAGAUUUCUUAUCGAUUCCUGCUUGAGGAUACGAAUCAAUUGAUUCGUUCGGCUGCUCCCCUUGUACGCAGAGGCCACCGCCGCGCCGGAGGGCGCUGCCUUGGGCCGGUGGUAGCUCCGCCGCCACGGCUCGCAUCCGGCAGCAGCCGUCAUGCAUCCGUGCUACUGCACGUAGACGCGUAGUAACGUAGCACUACCGCGUCUCGCAGCCAGCGGCCGCAAGACGCGCUGAUGUGCCACAUUCAGUCGAGCGCCCCGCGCCAUGCCGACGACACCACGCCACCACGCGCUGCGUUGAGGGUCUGCGUCACUGGUGUGCCGGGUCGACGAUGCCACCACGCAGGAAUCGAGUCUGCGACGAGACUGAAGGCCACGAAGUACUUGAAUCGAUGAAGGAUUGGAGAUUGAUGCCCCCUUUGUCCGUUCGCCGAUUUGGGAGCCGACGAGGUCAAGAUGGACGCUGGCGUUGAAGCCGUGCCUCCGUCGAGCCGGAGGGCGUCGAUGUUGCGAUAGCCAUGUGCCUCGUGGUCGUUCUUUCUCGCUGACGUUCGCCUGCCUCGUCGCGCCACCGCGGAUGGCUACCCUGCCGCAGGCCGGCCGCUUGCGUCGCCGGUUGGGCUGCAGUACAAAGGCAAGUCGCGUUGUGCUUCUUCGAUGCAGAGCGAAAAAUGCUGAUAACGUGUGAAAGAAUAAAAGCAAAGAAUAAAAGCAAAUGACCGAAGAGUCUUUCUCAUUGAUUGAAAA